GCCCAGAUCUAAGGAAUAGCCACUGGAAACGGUGAGUAAUACCUUAUACGCCCUUCGGGGAAAGAUUUAUCGGAUUUGGAUCGGCCCGCGUUAGAUUAGGUAGUUGGUGGGGUAACGGCCUACCAAGCCUACGAUCUAUAGCUGGUUUUAGAGGAUGAUCAGCAACACUGGGACUGAGACACGGCCCAGACUCCUACGGGAGGCAGCAGUGGGGAAUCUUGGACAAUGGGGGCAACCCUGAUCCAGCCAUGCCGCGUGAGUGAUGAAGGCCUUAGGGUCGUAAAGCUCUUUCGCCUGUGAAGAUAAUGACGGUAGCAGGUAAAGAAACCCCGGCUAACUCCGUGCCAGCAGCCGCGGUAAUACGGAGGGGGUUAGCGUUGUUCGGAAUUACUGGGCGUAAAGCGCACGUAGGCGGACCAGAAAGUUGGGGGUGAAAUCCCGGGGCUCAACCCCGAACUGCCUCCAAAACUAUUGGUCUAGAGUUCGAGAGAGGUGAGUGGAAUUCCAAGUGUAGAGGUGAAAUUCGUAGAUAUUUGGAGGAACACCAGUGGCGAAGGGGCUCACUGGCUCGAUACUGACGCUGAGGUGCGAAAGUGUGGGGAGCAAACAGGAUUAGAUACCCUGGUAGUCCACACCGUAAACGAUGAAUGCCAGUCGUCAGCAAGCAUGCUUGUUGGUGACACACCUAACGGAUUAAGCAUUCCGCCUGGGGAGUACGGUCGCAAGAUUAAAACUCAAAGGAAUUG
Molecule: ribosomal RNA, 746 nt
Filed under: uncultured bacterium
Lineage: Bacteria
Description: bacterial SSU rRNA
Rfam family: Bacterial small subunit ribosomal RNA
Source: RNAcentral